Otolemur garnettii (small-eared galago) is the source of this 164-nucleotide small nuclear RNA. Its record names the gene U1. It matches the Rfam family "U1 spliceosomal RNA". Rfam says of the family: U1 is a small nuclear RNA (snRNA) component of the spliceosome (involved in pre-mRNA splicing). Its 5' end forms complementary base pairs with the 5' splice junction, thus defining the 5' donor site of an intron. There are significant differences in sequence and secondary structure between metazoan and yeast U1 snRNAs, the latter being much longer (568 nucleotides as compared to 164 nucleotides in human). The record is from Ensembl. NCBI's taxonomy places the organism in Eukaryota, Metazoa, Chordata, Mammalia, Primates, Galagidae.
AUGCCAUCAGAGCAGGGGAGAUGCCAUGAUCCCGAAGGUGGUUUUCCCAGCGCGAGGCUUAGCCAUUGCACUCCGGAUGUGCUGACCCCUGCGAUUUCCCCAAAUGUGGGAAACUUGAGUGCUUUAUUUGUGGUAGUGGGGAACUGUGUUUGUGCUUUCUCCUG